RNAcentral lists this ribosomal RNA (253 nucleotides) under uncultured bacterium. Its description in RNAcentral is "partial 16S ribosomal RNA". It matches the Rfam family "Bacterial small subunit ribosomal RNA", at positions 524 to 776 of the family's 1533-position model. The record is from RNAcentral.
UACGUAGGGUGCGAGCGUUAAUCGGAAUUACUGGGCGUAAAGCGCACGUAGGCGGCUUUCUAAGUCGGGGGUGAAAUCCUGGAGCUCAACUCCAGAACUGCCUUCGAUACUGGAGAGCUCGAGUCCGGGAGAGGUGAGUGGAACUGCGAGUGUAGAGGUGAAAUUCGUAGAUAUUCGGAGGAACACCAGUGGCGAAGGCGGCUCACUGGUCCAUUACUGACGCUGAGGUGCGAAAGCGUGGGGAGCAAACAGG